RNAcentral lists this ribosomal RNA (1235 nucleotides) under Staphylococcus aureus. Its description in RNAcentral is "partial 23S ribosomal RNA". It matches the Rfam family "Bacterial large subunit ribosomal RNA", at positions 222 to 1461 of the family's 2925-position model. The record is from RNAcentral. Lineage: Bacteria; Bacillati; Bacillota; Bacilli; Caryophanales; Staphylococcaceae.
AAAGAAAAUUCGAUUCCCUUAGUAGCGGCGAGCGAAAUGGGAAGAGCCCAAACCAACAAGCUUGCUUGUUGGGGUUGUAGGACACUCUAUACGGAGUUACAAAGGACGACAUUAGACGAAUCAUCUGGAAAGAUGAAUCAAAGAAGGUAAUAAUCCUGUAGUCGAAAAUGUUGUCUCUCUUGAGUGGAUCCUGAGUACGACGGAGCACGUGAAAUUCCGUCGGAAUCUGGGAGGACCAUCUCCUAAGGCUAAAUACUCUCUAGUGACCGAUAGUGAACCAGUACCGUGAGGGAAAGGUGAAAAGCACCCCGGAAGGGGAGUGAAAUAGAACCUGAAACCGUGUGCUUACAAGUAGUCAGAGCCCGUUAAUGGGUGAUGGCGUGCCUUUUGUAGAAUGAACCGGCGAGUUACGAUUUGAUGCAAGGUUAAGCAGUAAAUGUGGAGCCGUAGCGAAAGCGAGUCUGAAUAGGGCGUUUAGUAUUUGGUCGUAGACCCGAAACCAGGUGAUCUACCCUUGGUCAGGUUGAAGUUCAGGUAACACUGAAUGGAGGACCGAACCGACUUACGUUGAAAAGUGAGCGGAUGAACUGAGGGUAGCGGAGAAAUUCCAAUCGAACCUGGAGAUAGCUGGUUCUCUCCGAAAUAGCUUUAGGGCUAGCCUCAAGUGAUGAUUAUUGGAGGUAGAGCACUGUUUGGACGAGGGGCCCCUCUCGGGUUACCGAAUUCAGACAAACUCCGAAUGCCAAUUAAUUUAACUUGGGAGUCAGAACAUGGGUGAUAAGGUCCGUGUUCGAAAGGGAAACAGCCCAGACCACCAGCUAAGGUCCCAAAAUAUAUGUUAAGUGGAAAAGGAUGUGGCGUUGCCCAGACAACUAGGAUGUUGGCUUAGAAGCAGCCAUCAUUUAAAGAGUGCGUAAUAGCUCACUAGUCGAGUGACACUGCGCCGAAAAUGUACCGGGGCUAAACAUAUUACCGAAGCUGUGGAUUGUCCUUUGGACAAUGGUAGGAGAGCGUUCUAAGGGCGUUGAAGCAUGAUCGUAAGGACAUGUGGAGCGCUUAGAAGUGAGAAUGCCGGUGUGAGUAGCGAAAGACGGGUGAGAAUCCCGUCCACCGAUUGACUAAGGUUUCCAGAGGAAGGCUCGUCCGCUCUGGGUUAGUCGGGUCCUAAGCUGAGGCCGACAGGCGUAGGCGAUGGAUAACAGGUUGAUAUUCCUGUACCACCUAUAAUCGUUUUA